Molecule: long non-coding RNA, 206 nt
Filed under: Elaeis guineensis (African oil palm)
Lineage: Eukaryota; Viridiplantae; Streptophyta; Magnoliopsida; Arecales; Arecaceae
Description: long non-coding RNA (EGUI_LNC013916)
Source: RNAcentral
UAUUGAAAUAUCAAAAAUCUUUGUCCAUUAUAUUGAUUGAUUAAUUCCAUGCAGAAAUAAUAAUUGGCCCAAACUACCUUUAAUAGAAAUUAAAGAAAGCUUGAACAUCAGAUACUAUUCAUAAUUAUAGACUUCUUUCUUCUUUUAACCUUUCAAUAAUUUAAUGACUAGACUUUCAUAUCAGGAAAACCUCAACCCUCUACAUC